GCCCUCGUGGCCCAACGGCAGAGGCACCAGACCGAGGCUCUGGACGGUGCGCGUUCGAAUCGCGCCGAGGGCAC
Molecule: transfer RNA, 74 nt
Filed under: Actinoplanes derwentensis
Lineage: Bacteria; Bacillati; Actinomycetota; Actinomycetes; Micromonosporales; Micromonosporaceae
Description: tRNA-Leu
Rfam family: tRNA
About the family: Transfer RNA (tRNA) molecules are approximately 80 nucleotides in length. Their secondary structure includes four short double-helical elements and three loops (D, anti-codon, and T loops).
Source: RNAcentral